GUGUCAUCCUCCCUAUCUCAACACCACCAAGUCACCACCCCCAGUGUUAUCACGUGACUCACCACACCACUUCACUGCGCCUCAUUACCUACUCACUCCUGACUGACUCGUGCAUUAGUCACCACCGUCCUUCAGCAAUGGACAUAAUCAAGACUUGUAGCCACCCACAACACACACUUGCUCCACACCUGCUGACACCUUAUCCCCUUACUGUCAUGCUCCCCUCUCAGGCCACGAAAUUCUCCACACUAAUCCUUGGCCACCGCUUCCCCGACUCCCAAUCAAGUAGACACAUCCUGCCUCUCCCAAUCGCCAGUCCUGAGGGGGCGAAGCCAUCUGCAUCUUUAUGGCCAGGGGCGCCGAGUCCAUUUCCUGGGUCGCUUUUGCGGUGGUGUAGGUAAGGAUAGUCAUGCCCCCUUCCCUGGCCUUCCCUAACCUUUCCUACCCAUUCCCUGCCCCUUCUCUACCCUUUCUAUGCCCUCUUUUGCGUUAUGCCUCAAAUGUUGGGUGCUUCUGGCUUGUGGGGGGAAGGGUCAGGGUAUAGUGUGUGUGUGUGUGUGUGUGUGUGUGUGUGUGUGUGUGUGUGUG
Molecule: long non-coding RNA, 588 nt
Organism: Portunus trituberculatus (swimming crab)
Lineage: Eukaryota; Metazoa; Arthropoda; Malacostraca; Decapoda; Portunidae
Exons: 3
Source: RefSeq, a predicted model, not a curated record